UAGAGACCUAAGAGAUGAUGAACAAAAACAAAGAAAUGAAAGCAAAGUAGAUCCCUAAGGCUAAGCGACUGAAGCAACCGUUACACCCAAAUAACUCCACCAACUCUGUCGUCUCUUUCAUCUCCAGCCUCAGAAAAUCGACCGAGGUUCAAUCGCAAUUUGAAAUGCAUUCAACCAAAUUAAUUACAGCAAGCUUGUUGAGGUCGAUUUGAAUUCUGGUCGAGGUCGCCAGUGUAAUUCCCUAUCCGGUCAGUUGGUUCCAACUUCAUUUCUUUUAUUCGUGUUGCAAUUUAUUCCAUUUUUUAUCCGAAUUCCG
This 316-nucleotide long non-coding RNA is filed under the name Nicotiana benthamiana. Its description in RNAcentral is "long non-coding RNA (NBEN_LNC016122)". The record is from RNAcentral. Lineage: Eukaryota; Viridiplantae; Streptophyta; Magnoliopsida; Solanales; Solanaceae.